CGUAGUUCACCGGGGUGUCCGCGCGUCAAAGCGGGCUGAGAAUCGGACAAGCUUCCGUACACCCGCCGAACCUGAUCCGGGUCAUGCCGGCGAAGGGAGUGAGUACAGCCCAGGG
Molecule: non-coding RNA, 115 nt
Filed under: Asticcacaulis sp. YBE204
Lineage: Bacteria; Pseudomonadati; Pseudomonadota; Alphaproteobacteria; Caulobacterales; Caulobacteraceae
Also listed under: 1 other name
Description: TPP riboswitch aptamer (THI element)
Rfam family: TPP riboswitch aptamer (THI element)
About the family: Vitamin B(1) in its active form thiamin pyrophosphate (TPP) is an essential coenzyme that is synthesised by coupling of pyrimidine and thiazole moieties in bacteria. The previously detected thiamin-regulatory element, thi box was extended, resulting in a new, highly conserved RNA secondary structure, the THI element, which is widely distributed in eubacteria and also occurs in some archaea.
Source: Rfam by way of RNAcentral